UACGAAGGAGGCUAGCGUUGUUCGGAAUUACUGGGCGUAAAGGGUGCGUAGGCGGCUUUGUAAGUCAGUGGUGAAAUAUGGCAGCUCAACUGUCAAGGUGCCAUUGAUACUGCGGAGCUUGAGUACAGAUGAGGUAGGCGGAAUUGACGGUGUAGCGGUGAAAUGCUUAGAUAUCGUCAAGAACACCGAUAGCGAAGGCAGCUUACUAGGCUGUAACUGACGCUGAGGCACGAAAGUGUGGGGAUCAAACAGG
RNAcentral lists this ribosomal RNA (253 nucleotides) under uncultured bacterium. Its description in RNAcentral is "partial 16S ribosomal RNA". It matches the Rfam family "Bacterial small subunit ribosomal RNA", at positions 524 to 776 of the family's 1533-position model. The record is from RNAcentral.